Molecule: ribosomal RNA, 253 nt
Filed under: uncultured bacterium
Lineage: Bacteria
Description: partial 16S ribosomal RNA
Rfam family: Bacterial small subunit ribosomal RNA
Source: RNAcentral
UACGUAGGGUGCGAGCGUUAAUCGGAAUUACUGGGCGUAAAGCGUGCGCAGGCGGUUUUGUAAGCCAGAUGUGAAAGCCCCGAGCUUAACUUGGGAAUUGCGCUUGUGACUGGCGUGCUGGAGUGUGGCAGAGGGAGGUGGAAUUCCACGUGUAGCAGUGAAAUGCGUAGAGAUGUGGAGGAACACCGAUGGCGAAGGCAGCCUCCUGGGCCAGCACUGACGCUCAUGCACGAAAGCGUGGGGAGCAAACAGG